Molecule: long non-coding RNA, 266 nt
Organism: Helianthus annuus (common sunflower)
Lineage: Eukaryota; Viridiplantae; Streptophyta; Magnoliopsida; Asterales; Asteraceae
Exons: 3
Source: RefSeq, a predicted model, not a curated record
AAAUAAGAAGUAAAAGCAUGUUUCGGAUGCAAGGAGCGAAUAGUAAUUUGGAUAAUUGCGUCGCCAUAGAAUAUCGGUAAUAAAAGCAAGGUGUUGAAACGGGUCACUAGGUUGACUCGAGCCAGGUGAAUGUCGAGAGUCCCGGAUGAAGAUCGAGCAUCGAGCAAGAACCGAACACACAUUAAACAAAGCUUCCGCAACGUUGUUUUGUCGUAAUUCUAAACGGCGAAUUAAUCACAUUAUGUUUAUCACUUAAGUUGUAAAAG